UGCGCUUGCAGAUCCCAUUCAUUAUUUAUUUAGAAGAGCAAUUGCAUAUUUCAAUACCGCGUCUCUUAUAUCAUGCUGGGGAUGACAACUUGGCUUAAGUGGUGUGAGGGAUAGGUUUGGCAUUUUUGGCACCGUUACUAGAUUUAGAGAACUUACUCUACUUUUGGUAAUGAUGUUAAGAAUACCCAACAAGCAUUUUUGGCGCCGUUGCCGGGGAAGGUUGAUUACUAAUCAGGAAUGGAAUAAAAGAUUUUGAGUUAUCAUUCGCAUCACUAAUAUGAUUGAGCUUAUCUAUUCUCUCAUACAGUUUUACCCUGAUAUUUUUCUAUUUUAUCUUAUGCAGGGGAAUGUAUGAAUAGAAGACAUCUUCCAGGAAACUUUGUUGACAAUCCCGAAGCAUUAUUCAAGAAGACGAGAGCCAAGCUCAAGAAGAGAUCAUCAACACUUCAGCAAGAAGCUUCAUCCAAUCAAGAAGAUCACCAGAACUUGUCUUCAGAGUUCGAAGCCAUGGCAAACAAAUCAAUCCGCGAGUUCUCAGCUCCCACUACAGACAACAUCCGCACUGGACCUGCUGCAGAGAUCGAUGGCAACUUUGAGCUCAAGCCUGGACUUAUCAACAUGGUGCAAUCCAACCAGUUCUGUGGGAAGGCACACGAGGAUGCUAGUGCUCAUUUACAACACUUCCUGGAGAUUUGCAACACAUUCACCAUAGCAGGAGUUUCCAAAGAUGCUAUACUACUUCGCCUCUUCCCAUUCUCACUGUUAGGGAGAGCGAAGCAGUGGUUCUACGCUACAAAGGAGAAGAAUACUACGUGGGCACUCUGCUCAACAAACUUCCUGGCAAAAUUCUUUCCCAUGGGCAAGACCAAUGCACUCAGUGGGAAGAUUACAAGUUUUCAGCAACAAAAUGAUGAAUCUGUUCCAGAAGCAUGGGAGCGCUUUCAAGACUACAUCCUAGAAUGUCCCCAUCAUGGAAUGGAGAGUUGGAUAUUGAUGCAGACAUUUUAUCAUGGGCUCGGCAACAGUGCCCGAGAGACCAUGGAUGCUGCAGCUGGAGGAGCAUUCUUAUCACUUACUAUACCACAAGCCACAGCUCUUGUGGAGAAGAUGGUGUCCAAUCAAAGCUGGAAUGAAGAGAGGACCCAGACACGCAAGAGAGGUGGAGGUAUGCAUCAGCUCAAGGAGGUAGACAUGCUGUCUGCAAAGCUAGACCUGCUCAUGAAGAAGCUCGAUGAUAGAGCUGGAGACAAGAAAGAAGUUAUGCACAUCUACGACUCUCACAUGACUUGUGAGGAGUGUGGAGACACCGGACACUCAGGCAAUCACUGCCCUGAGAUGCUUGAGGAUGUGAACUACAUCAACAACAACAACUACUACUACAACCGUCCUCAACAAAAUCAAGGUUGGAAUCAACAAAGGCCUAACUACUCAGGUAAUUAUCAAGGUAACAAUUCUUACGACAAUAAUAAUAAUUUUCCACCUCUAAGAGAGUUAGUGUCUAAUCAAGGAAAGCUAAUGGAUAACCUGUCUAAGAAAUUGGCAUCUAAUGAUAAAGUGCUAGAAAAUAUAAAUAAUAGAAUGGAUAAUUUCUCUACUGCCAUCAAGAAUCAAAUUAGCUUUAAUAAAAUGAUUGAAUCUCAAUUAAAUCAAAUAGCUGCUGCUGUUCCUACUACUAACCCCGGUAUACCAUCACAACCGGAAGGAUUAGAAUCUGCAAAUCUUGUAGACAUGUUUGAUGCAGGUAAUAAUUGGAGUAACCCCGUCACUGAAUUCUCUACUGACAUUCUGCUGGUCAAGAGAGGCGAUCCAGGACGCCCCGUCAUCCCGAUCUUCAUCGGCAUGGUGGAUGUUCCAGAAGCACUCUGUGACUUUGGCUCCAGUGUCAACAUUAUACCCAGGGUACUCUAUGAAAAAAUCUUUACAUAUCCUUUAUUAGAAACAACCAUGUGUUUGCAGUUUGCAGAUCAGAUGAUAACUUUUCCAAAGGGAAUAUUGAAGAACCUUUGUGUCCGAGUUGGUACCUUAUAUGCUCUAGCAGACUUCGUAGUGGUAGAGACCGGAAAUGAUGAGAGAGCACCUAUCAUCUUAGGGAGGCCAUUCUUGAAUACCACGGGAGCUAUCAUCUACGCUAGUGCUGCCAAAAUCAGUUUCUACGUCAAAGGGAAGAAGGAGACAUUUUUCUUCAAGAACAAGAUUACACAAAUUCCAAAUUAAUCCAGACGUGAAUCAAGGAAGAGGACCAACAGGAGGAACAGGAACAAGCAAGUGUGGACCGAGUCAGCUAAGAUGGUCACUGUAAUUCAUGGAGGCCAAGAUCACCAACUUAAGUCACCGUUUUUGACCAAGAAGGACGACCCAGGAAUGCCAAGCAUCUACUGCUCCAUAAAUGGAUACAACUUCUACAAGGCAACUUGUGACACCGGACCGGGCGUCAACAUAAUGGCCGCAGUCACCUAUCGGCUCUUGUUCGGAACCAUGCCACUAAGACCAACAUAUAUUCAGCUCCAGAUGGCAGAUCAGACAUUUUGAGAAGUUAAAGGAACAGUAACUGAUGUCCCAGUCAAAAUAGACGAUCAUUUUGUCUACACAGACUUUCAGGUUAUUGACAUGGGAGAAGAUGAGUAUGAUCCACCCAUCAUCCUUGGAAGACCGUUCCUCAGUACCGUUAAAGCAAUUAUCUACAUUGGAACCGGAGAAGUCCAUAUGCACUUCCCCUCAGAGAAGGUACGCCGUUAUUUUACUGACCCUAACUAUAUCAUUGAAGAAUCUAAGCAGGUAAGGAAAAGACGCAACCGUAACCAGAGGAGGCAGAUCAUCAAGGACGGAUGGGCAGACUACGAAGGAGAAGUGAUAAGGUCAGAAGACGUAGAGUUUAAACAGAAUUAUCCAGAGGAGACUGAAGCACCGAGUCAGGUAUGGAAAAUGAAGAUAACUAUACAUGAAGAGGAGGCGCCGCCGGAAGUACCGACUACGCCACCCAACGAACCUCAGGACAAUUGAAAAAAAAUAGAGAGUCCCGUUCGGAGGACUUAAAAACACCGAACGCCUUGCCAAGAGGUAAACUUGGUAGUUAUCCUUUCCCUUUCAAUUAUUUUUAAAUAGUUUAUUUAGUUAAUCAUAUUCAUACUAUCCUAAAAAGAAAAUAAAAAUGUGAAAAACAGUAAGCCCCAUGUGAGUAUAUGAGUGGCAUAAAACCCAUAAGUACAUUCACUGUGGUGGCAUAAAAAUAGAAUAAAUAUUUUUCUGCUUUAUAAAAUAAAAAUAUAAAAACAGGGAGUAAUAAUUAUUAAGGAGUCUCAACAUGAUAAAGGCUAGAUAUUUAUGCUAACACUUAAUCAGUUCCACAAGCUUUGUUGUCUAUUUGAACUCCACAGAAUUUAAGAAUCAAGAAGACUAGCAGACGGAGGACAUUCUAAUCGCUGUCAGAAUGCUGCUGACUUUCAAAUAAACCUCUGCCACCUGCUAGCUACAUCAAGAGAAAUUACGUCAAAAUUCAGCUUGGGGGAGAGCAACCCCAUUUAUCUCGAUAAGUAUUUCUAUCUAUCUUUAUACUUAUAUUAUAUUAGAAUAUUAAAAUACAUAAACUAUGAAAAACCAAAUAAAGAUUUUAAGCUUAUAUAUAUCCUUUGCUUAGUGUGUUUAAUAAAUAAAUAAAGUGGCUAUGCUAAUCUGUAUCUAAAUAAAACUUAAGCAUGGAUAUGAUGAAUAGUUGCUCUGCAUAAUUUGAACAUUUUAAGUUCUCUCUCAAGUUUAGAUAUAACUGUUAUAAUUUAAAGCUUGCUCUAGACCUAAACUUGUGGGAUGAAAACUUGAUCUGAAGUCUAAGUUGUUAACGGAUACGAUAUGGGAAGGUUGAGCUGCUAUUUAUCUGUUCCUAGAGAUGCUAGAAUUCUGGAGAAUUUUAUCUUUGAAAAUCUUUAAAAUGUUGCAUGAUGAGUUCCUGUAUGAUGAGAGUUUAAAUUCCUACCACAGCCAUAUAUACAUGCUUGCUAGACUUUGAGCCACACAUUUACUAUUUACUGCUUAUGAGCAUUGAGUGUGGUCAAGCUGUGUAGACCCUUAGGAGCUUGUCAUGUGGUUAAAUCAAGAUUUCACUUGCACGUUCACUCAUAUAUGCUACUUCUACUCCGGAAGUACCAUCCACAUAUAUCCAUCCAUUUCCAUCUCCAGAACCACCUAAAAAUAUUCUACUCCUAAUCCGGGAGAGAAUAGCCAAAAAUAUUUUUUUCCCUUGUGAAAUAAAUGCUCAAGUUAUCUUGUUACUAUCACUUGCUAUAUUAUCUCAUGAGAUGAGUGCUCUAAAAAAAGAAAAAAACGAGGAAAUAAAAAGGAGCAAGUGCUCGGAACCUCGAAAGAAAAGAAAAAGUGAGACGAGAGGUAAAAAUGGACAAGUGUCCGACAGUAGAAUUAGGGGUACAAGAUACUCACCUGAGAGAAAAGAAAAAGAAGAGCAUCUCAUUCUCCUCAUAAAAUUUCAAAAAGCAAGGAAGGUAUGUAUCCCCUCAAAGAGCAAAGUAGAAUUAGACUUUCACCAUUGUUACCACCGUCAUCACCAUACACCAUUCAUUCGCCACACAUGCACAUCUUGAUUAAACUUAUUGGCUUGUUUCUUUAGAUCCAUGGUUUGACUAUGCAAUAAAUGUCUUGUAAGUAUGUAUAUUUUAUCUCCCACCUAUGAGCUCCAGAUAUUAAAGCCUUAUUAGAGUAGGGUGAGAGAGAAGGCAAUGUCACUAUGCUUUGUACCACAAAUACUACAUAUAUUGAGAGAAGGCAUAUACCAUUACUGCCUUAGUAAGGAUCCAGAAAUACCACAAAAGAGAGAUCUGAGAGAAUCAUACAAGGAAUCUCUGAGUUUUAUUUGAAAAUCUGCAAAAACCCCAGAGCUAUAGCUGAUCAAGAAUAAGAGACAUGGCACUUCGCUAGACUGUUCUAUCUUUUAACUACUCAAGACAGAAGUGACGGUUACAAGUCCCAUGGUGGAAGGUAAAGUAAUUAAGUUUUAAGUCUUGACAGUUUACUCUAACUCAAAGAUGAGAUCUUAUUUAAAAAGCAUGUGUACCGUCAAAUUUUAAAAAUAUUACAACAACUUAUGAUCCAUAGCUGAGUCUAUCCUUGCUCAGGGACGAGCAAGAGGUAAGCUUGGGGGAGUUUGUUGACGGUCCUUAAGUAUCAAAUUUAAUUAUCAAAUAAAUAAAGAAAAGGAUCCAAAUGAAAUCAACAUCUAGACUUAGGGUUUUAUCUGACAGAAUUCCACGAGUUUUAGUGUUUGUCUAUUUCUGCAGGGGUUAUCAGGAAAUACGGAAGAAAGGUCCACACGUCGGGAUUACAUAGAGAUAUUAACGUGCCGCGCAAUUAUCUUACAUCUAGAAGACUCCAGAAGCCACGAGACCGAAGCGGAGGCGAAACGGGGCCAGAGGCAGGGCGCCCGCCUUGUUCUCCUGGGCGCCCGCCCCCUCCCUGAGUCCAAUCAGGACUCUGCUUCGCGGGAGAUCUCCACCGACCUAAAGGAUGAAUCUAAACCAUACAAUCUAUGUCGGUUUGAUCCAAUGGCCCAUAUUCACUUGAAGGAACUAUAAAACCAGACCCCCUGGCCCCUGGAGGAGGGAGCCUCUCAACCCUAAUUCAUUGUUCUUCAAGGGAGAAGAAGCCUCUGAUCAAGAUUAGAGCCACCACAUCAAUUAGAUAUCUAGAUUAGCAUAGCUACAUAGGAUUAGAACUAGAAGGAGUCAAUCUUCGAUUGGUUUCCGGAUCUGUCAAGAGGAUUCUUGGUAAUUCUCUAAUUGUGCUUCUAAUUACUUUCUAAUUAUCUUUGUUCUUCAAUAUUAUGAAUAUGACUUUGUUCUACUUCAAUAUAUUGCUUAUGACUUUGCUCUAUUUGCUUAUAUUCAAGAUUAUAUUGUUCUUAGUUUAUCAUAGUUAUGUACUUGGCUUAGUUAGAUUUGAUCUAUAUACAUGCUUAGGAUCGUAUAGCGUUUAUACAUCGGAUCCAUGGGUAAAUGAUAGAUAUUGUGUAGGCGUGGUGCUUAUACCGUAUUUAUCUGCGAUUGUACCCAAUAUGCCAGAUCGUGGGGUGGUUCGUGAUAGUGACAGCUUCAUUGAUUCUUAUAUAGUCCCCCUCUCGUGUAUUGGGCUGGCAGAGCAACAUUAUUACAGGGGAGUGAUUGCUAUGUUUCUCAUAUUCCUUGCUAAUAUCACUAUGCAUGGGCGUAGUCUUGUCUCACAAUGAUUGCUAAGUAUGCUUGCACUAACUAUGAUAAUGCUAGACUAUAUAGUUGAGAAUAACUUAGGGAAUAUUCUUGUAGUUCGUUCUAAUACCAUGCUAAUGACUUUCUAGAGUAUCUAAUUGAGGUGCUUAUCAUAUUUAUUAUGUGGCUAGAUCAGAUUAGUUAUCCUUGUCACUAUUAUUAUUUCAUAUAUCUUUUAUGUGACACUUAUCCCUGUAUGAAGAGUUAGAUAUAAUGUUCUCAAUUAUACAUGCAAUGAUAGAUGCUCAAUCUCAUAUUCUAUUCUGUAUUCAAUAUUGAUGAUUGCUAAUCCCUUCCCAGUGGUAAAAAUAUAAAUAACGAUACCUGGAAUACUUCCCGGUUAAAAUGCUGCAUCAGUAUUAAUCUGUGCGCUUGCAGAUCCCAUUCAUUAUUUAUUUAGAAGAGCAAUUGCAUAUUUCAAUACCGCGUCUCUUAUAUCAUGCUGGGGAUGACAACUUGGCUUAAGUGGUGUGAGGGAUAGGUUUGGCAUUUUUGGCACCGUUACUAGAUUUAGAGAACUUACUCUACUUUUGGUAAUGAUGUUAAGAAUAUCCAACACAUAUGUGGCGAGUGAAUGGUGUAUGGUGAUAACAAUGGUGAAAGUCUAAUUCUACUUUUGCUCUUUUUAAGGGAUACAUACCUUUCUUGCACUUUGAAGCUUUUUGAGGAGAAUGAGAUGCUCUAUAUUUUUUUUCUCUCAGGUGGGUAUCUUGUACCUCUAAUUCUACUGUCGGACACUUGUCCAUAUUUACCUCUCGUUUCAUUUUUUCUUUUCUUCGAGGUUCCGGGCACUUGCCCCUUUUUAUUUCCUCGUAUUUUUUUUCUCUUUUUUUUAGAGAGCACUCAUCUCCUGAAAUAAUAUAGCAAUUGGUAGUAACCAAGAUAACUCGAGCAUUUAUUUCAUAGGAAAAAACAGAAAUGUUUUUGCCUAUUCUCUCCCAGAUUAGGAGUAGAAUACUUUUAGGUGAAUCUAGAGAUGGAAUCGAGUGGAUGUAUGUGGAUGCGUACUUCCAGAGUAGGAGCAGCAUGUAUGAGUGAACGUGCAAGUGAAUCUUGAUUUUAACCGCAUGACAAGCUCCUAAGGGUCUACACAGCUUGACCACACUCAAUGCUCAUAAGCAGUAAGAAGUAAAUAUGUGGCUCAAAGUCUAAUAAGUAUGUAUGUAUGGCUGUGGUAGGAAUUUAAACUCUCAUCAUACAGGAACUCAUCUAAAGAUUUUCAAAGAUAAAAUUCUCUAGAAUUCUAGCAUCUCUAGGAACAGAUAAAUAGCAGCUCAAUCUUCCCAUAUCAUAUCCGUUAACGACUUAGACUUUUGAUUAGCUACACUUCCCACAAGUUUAGGUUUAGAGCAAGCUUUAAAUUAUAACAGUUAUGCCUAAACUUGAGAGAGAGCUCAACUUGAAAACUAGGUACAUGGCAAAGCAACUAUUUAUCAUUUCCAUGUGAGAGCUUAUCAUGAGGGUUGAUAGCAAACUUUAUUUAUUUAUUUAUUUAUUUAUUUAGCAAACUAAGCAAACAACACAAAAUCUUUAUUUGGGUUUUUAUGAUUAUACAUCUUUUUAUUAUUUGAGUAAAGUAUAAAUGUGAGUAGAACACUUAGCUGGAUAAAUGGGGGUGCUCUUCCCCAAGCUGGAUUUUGACAUAAUUUCUUUUGAUAUAGCUAGCAGGUGACGGAGGUGUAUUUGAAUGUUGGCGGCACCCUGACAGCGAUUACUAAGUCCUCCGUCUGCUAGUCUUCUUUUAUCCUUGAAUUCUGUGGAGCUCAAAUAGACAACAAAGCUUUGUGGAACUGGUUAAGUGUUAGCAUAAAUAUCUUUUCUUUAUCAUGUUGAGUCUCCUCAAUAAAUGUUACUCUCUUUGGUUGGAUCACAAUCUUAUUUUCAUUUUUAUAGCACAGGAAUAUAUUUAUUUUAUUUUUAUGCCACCACAGUGAAUGUACUUAUGGGUUUUAUGCCAUGAGCAUACUCACAUGGGGCUUACUAUUUUUAACAUUUUUAUUUUCUUUUCAAGAUAGCAUGAACCUGAUUAACUAAACAAUCUAUUUUAAAUAAUUGAAGGGAAAAAGAUAACUACCAAGUUUACCUCUUCGCAAGGCGUUCGGUGUUUUUAAGUCCUCCGAACGGGACUCUCCGUUUUCUCAGUCGUCCUAGGAUUCUCUGGAUGGCGUAGUCGGUGAUUCUGAUGGCGCCUCCUCUUUGUGUAUAACUAUCUUCUCUUUCUGAUUCGGUGCUACGGUCUCCUCAUGACAAUCCUGUUCAAGAUGUAUAUCUUUGGACCUUAUUACAUCUUCUUUGUAGUCUGCCCAUCCGUCCUUGAUGAUUUGCCUCCUUUGGUUUUGGUUGCGUCGCCUUCUUCUCAUCCUGAUCUGCUUAGAAUCUUCAACUAUAUAGUUAGGGUCAGUAAAAUAGCGGCGUACCUUCUUAGAGGGGAAGUGCAUGUGGACUUCUCUAGUUCCAAUAUAGAUGAUAACUUUGAUAGUGUUGAGGAACGGUCUUCCAAGGAUGAUGGGUUAAUCGUACUCGUCUUCUCCCAUGUCAAUGACCUGAAAAUCAUCUGGAGCUGAAUGUAUGUUGGUUGUAGGGGCAUGGUUCCAUGCAGGAGCUGAUAAGUGACUGCGGCCAUUAUGUUGACGUCAGAUCCAGUGUCGUAGAGUGUCUUCUGAAAAGAGUAUCCGUUGAUUGUGCACUCGAUGCUUGGAACACCAGGGUCGUCCUUCUUGAUCAGGAAGGGCGACUUGAGUCGACGAUCUUGACCUCUUCCGGCAAGGAUCCAAUGUUCUAAGUCUUCUAGACAAGACUUCUCACUGUGUUCAUCCUUUAGGUGCAUCAUUUGAUUAGGUGUGGGUCUUGACAUCUGCACCUCUUGAUACAAUGUCACCCAUGUUCUUCGGUUGUCCAGUAGUUCGACAUGUGGCAUUGGCAGCAUCGUGCUCAGUGUGUUUGUGCUCGUAGAUCCAAGUCCUUCACUUAGUGGAAUCUGGGACUUGUAAAACUCCUUUAGGUUUUGCUCGAAGUGUACCUGCUCAUAGAGACAAGGCAGAGAUCAAGUGCAUGGGUCCUGUUGGUGGAAAACACCAACAGAACCAAAAGUAUGUUUAUUCUUCUCUAUCCUUAAGCAUAGGGAGCAAGACAAAGUUGAUGGGUGAUAAUUUCAUGAGUGUAGCAUUUAAAACAUUUGUCAGAUCAGAUCGCUCAACCUUAUGGAAAGAUAAUCUAUCUAUGUAUAUGUCUUUUUCUUUAUAUCUUCCCAAAGAUUGAAUGUGCAACAUUUUAGCUCAUAUGAUUAGGAGUGUAGGAUCAUGGAGGUAGUACUAGGAACAAAGAUUAAAGGACUAAACAUGCUGAAUCAAUUGGGUUGGUUAAUUUGGAGUUAUAAAUCAUACAUGUUUGUCUCUUUAUUCAUGUGAACGCCAGAACCAAGGAGAAGCUUAUAAAAGUGAUAGUUA
This 9691-nucleotide long non-coding RNA is filed under the name Sorghum bicolor (sorghum). Its description in RNAcentral is "long non-coding RNA (SBIC_LNC000553)". Lineage: Eukaryota; Viridiplantae; Streptophyta; Magnoliopsida; Poales; Poaceae. The record is from RNAcentral.